AGCGAACGCUGGCGGCAGGCCUAACACAUGCAAGUCGAACGAACUCUUCGGAGUUAGUGGCGGACGGGUGAGUAACACGUGGGAACGUGCCUUUUGGUUCGGAAUAACUCAGGGAAACUUGUGCUAAUACCGAAUGUGCCCUUCGGGGGAAAGAUUUAUCGCCAUUAGAGCGGCCCGCGUCUGAUUAGCUAGUUGAUGAG
RNAcentral lists this ribosomal RNA (200 nucleotides) under uncultured bacterium. Its description in RNAcentral is "partial 16S ribosomal RNA". It matches the Rfam family "Bacterial small subunit ribosomal RNA", at positions 29 to 256 of the family's 1533-position model. The record is from RNAcentral.